UGGGGAAUAUUGGACAAUGGGCGCAAGCCUGAUCCAGCCAUACCGCGUGGGUGAAGAAGGCCUUCGGGUUGUAAAGCCCUUUUGUUGGGAAAGAAAUCCAGCCGGCUAAUACCUGGUUGGGAUGACGGUACCCAAAGAAUAAGCACCGGCUAACUUCGUGCCAGCAGCCGCGGUAAUACGAAGGGUGCAAGCGUUACUCGGAAUUACUGGGCGUAAAGCGUGCGUAGGUGGUCGUUUAAGUCCGUUGUGAAAGCCCUGGGCUCAACCUGGGAACUGCAGUGGAUACUGGGCGACUAGAGUGUGGUAGAGGGUAGCGGAAUUCCUGGUGUAGCAGUGAAAUGCGUAGAGAUCAGGAGGAACAUCCAUGGCGAAGGCAGCUACCUGGACCAACACUGACACUGAGGCACGAAAGCGUGGGGAGCAAACAGGAUUAGAUACCCUGGUAGUCCACGCCCUAAACGAUGCGAACUGGAUGUUGGUGCAAUUUGGCACGCAGUAUCGAAGCUAACGCGUUAAGUUCGCCGCCUGGGGAGUACGGUCGCAAGACUG
RNAcentral lists this ribosomal RNA (549 nucleotides) under uncultured bacterium. RNAcentral describes it as "partial 16S ribosomal RNA". It matches the Rfam family "Bacterial small subunit ribosomal RNA", at positions 355 to 896 of the family's 1533-position model. The record is from RNAcentral.